AGAGCGAACGCUGGCGGCAUGCUUAACACAUGCAAGUCGCACGGGCAGCAAUGUCAGUGGCGGACGGGUGAGUAACGCGUAGGUAUCUAUCCUUGGGUGGGGGACAACGGCUGGAAACGGCUGCUAAUACCGCAUGAUAACUGAGGUUUAAAGGCGCAAGUCGCCUGGGGAGGAGCCUGCGUACGAUUAGCUAGUUGGUGGGGUAAAGGCCUACCAAGGCAACGAUCGUUAGCUGGUCUGAGAGGAUGAUCAGCCACAUUGGGACUGAGACACGGCCCAAACUCCUACGGGAGGCAGCAGUGGGGAAUAUUGGACAAUGGGCGAAAGCCUGAUCCAGCAAUGCCGCGUGUGUGAAGAAGGUCUUCGGAUUGUAAAGCACUUUCGACAGGGACGAUGAUGACGGUACCUGUAGAAGAAGCCCCGGCUAACUUCGUGCCAGCAGCCGC
RNAcentral lists this ribosomal RNA (446 nucleotides) under uncultured bacterium. Its description in RNAcentral is "SSU rRNA". It matches the Rfam family "Bacterial small subunit ribosomal RNA", at positions 26 to 518 of the family's 1533-position model. The record is from RNAcentral.